GACGAACGCUGGCGGCGUGCCUAAUACAUGCAAGUAGAACGCUGAAGGAAGGAGCUUGCUCUUUCUGGAUGAGUUGCGAACGGGUGAGUAACGCGUAGGUAACCUGCCUGGUAGCGGGGGAUAACUAUUGGAAACGAUAGCUAAUACCGCAUAAAAUUGAUUAUUGCAUGAUAGUCAAUUAAAAGGUGCAACUGCACCACUACCAGAUGGACCUGCGUUGUAUUAGCUAGUUGGUGGGGUAACGGCUCACCAAGGCGACGAUACAUAGCCGACCUGAGAGGGUGAUCGGCCACACUGGGACUGAGACACGGCCCAGACUCCUACGGGAGGCAGCAGUAGGGAAUCUUCGGCAAUGGACGGAAGUCUGACCGAGCAACGCCGCGUGAGUGAAGAAGGUUUUCGGAUCGUAAAGCUCUGUUGUAAGAGAAGAACGAGUGUGAGAGUGGAAAGUUCACACUGUGACGGUAUCUUACCGGAAAGGGACGGCUAACUACGUG
Molecule: ribosomal RNA, 497 nt
Filed under: uncultured bacterium
Lineage: Bacteria
Description: partial 16S ribosomal RNA
Rfam family: Bacterial small subunit ribosomal RNA
Source: RNAcentral